AACUGCAGAUAGCAAGCAUGUACUC
Molecule: unclassified non-coding RNA, 25 nt
Filed under: Mus musculus (house mouse)
Lineage: Eukaryota; Metazoa; Chordata; Mammalia; Rodentia; Muridae
Description: oocyte_clustered_small_RNA12154
Source: RNAcentral